GUCGAGUUUCUGAACAGCUGUUUGUUGUUCUAGGACAAGCUGUUCCACGUGCUGCAGAGUUUGAGGUUCGGGCUCAAUCAUGGCCUGCUCUUUCGCACUUUCAAGGAUGCAGAUAACUUCAUGUACCUCGCGACGCUGAAUCAACCUCCCUCACGAUGCUGUCCAUGGUCUUGUCAACGUGAUCCAUCCAUCGCUCCAUCUCCCGGAACUUAUCUCUAUACGCGUCCCAUUUAGCUGGAAUCCUUUGCAACUGCUGUCUGAAGUUUUCAACACGGUGGACCUGUUUGUACUCUCCCACUCCUGUUCACAUUUCUUGACGGCUUCUUCGAGGCUGGUGUCUCUGGUUUGAUGCGUGUAGCUAGUGGAGAUCUUCUUCAAGUUCUGUAGGCAGUGCUCGACCUGCAUGACCUUGCCUUGGUUACGGAAGUACUCUUCGUUUCUUAUGAGGAUUCCGUCAGCAUCGUCGCUCUGGUUGUAGGCCUGAAGGAGGUUAAUUUUGUGAGUAUUUCACCUUUGUUAUGACAUACACGAUUUUCUAUACUAUACAUUACCGGCUAGUUUAUGUAAUUAAAUUACGUGUUAAUGCAUUAUUUACUAGGUUUGCAUUUUAUGAUUGUUGUGAAAGUAAAUAAAUAUGUUUUAGCGAAA
This is a long non-coding RNA of Bombyx mori (domestic silkworm), 648 nucleotides long. RefSeq lists it as uncharacterized. The record is from RefSeq and is a predicted model, not a curated record. NCBI's taxonomy places the organism in Eukaryota, Metazoa, Arthropoda, Insecta, Lepidoptera, Bombycidae. The transcript has 3 exons.